Molecule: long non-coding RNA, 3157 nt
Filed under: Mus musculus (house mouse)
Lineage: Eukaryota; Metazoa; Chordata; Mammalia; Rodentia; Muridae
Description: long non-coding RNA chr8:40360987-40364144
Source: RNAcentral
GUGAGGUCUGGACAGACCCUCUGAGCUCUCAAAUUGCCUGUUCCAAGAUAGUGCCUGCUACAGUCACUUCUGCCUAUUUUCAUUCUUCCUGCUACAGUGAAAGAUUGAGUCUGUCCUCCUUGUGUCUGUGAAUAUAGUAGUUACCCUCAGUACUUGUCCACUUCAGAUAACCCAGAGUCUUUUUAUAUUUUGCAUGUAGUCAAGUCUCAAAUUAUUUUUCCACAGUGAUGAAAAAAAUAGAAAAAAAGAGUUCAAAAGAAUAAGCAAUUCAACUAGCUCAGAGGUCAAGGCUGUUUUACUUCAGCAUCCCUUAUAUGAUUUUUAUGAUAUCAAUUUUAAUUAACCUAAUGAUAUUACUAUCAAAAAUGUGUCAAUUUUUAAUACCACUUCACUGGUAUUUCAUCAUAUGUUGAAAUGUGGUUUUGGACUAAAUUUGAUAUUUGUAAAUAAUGUUUAUUUUUAAAAGUGAGUCUUCCCCAGUUUUUGAUGCAGAAUUGUAAUAUAUAUUGUACAUAUAUUUACACAUAUAUAUUACCAUGCAUGUUAAUUAUGUGUUUCAGUCUUGUCUGUCAUUACUGACAUUUGUUUCUACUUGAUUAUCAAUUGGUAUAUUAAAAUUAGAUUAAAUGUUAUAAUUAUGGAUUUAUUGUCUACUCAUAAUGUUCUUCAUUUUUAUGUUAUCUAAUUUGAAACAUUAUUACAUGUGUAAAAAUAUAAAUUAAUUAUGCCUUAGCCAAAUUUCUGGUAGCUAGUAUACUAGAUUUCUGGUUAUAUUUUGCCUUAUAAAAUCUUUUGUAAUCAGUAUAGACUACCUUUUAAAUUAAUAUUUUAUUUUAUUAUUGUUCCCUUUAAUGAUAAUGAAGCUUUUCCUGAUUUUAAAAAUGUACUUUAGAAACGUUUUUUAAUAUUUUUAAUUAGAUAUUUUAUUUACAUUUCAAAUAUUAUCUCUUUUCCUCAUUUCCCCUACAAAAACUCCCUAUCCCAUUCCCCCUCCCCCUGCUCACCAACCCACCCACCUACAUUCCCAUCCCUGGCAUUCCCCUAUACUGGGGCAUCAUAGCUCAGAAACUUAAUGCAAAUAAAAUGAAUAAUUAUAAAGUAGCUUAAGAAUUAAAAUUUUCUCAUUCCCACAAUCUCCAGGCAUAAUUCUCCUCCCAAAAAUUAUUCUCCCAAAUGAUUGCUGCAGCUGUGGUUUAUAGAUAGAUCUUUGCUUUGCUACCUAUGCAUUCUGAAAAAUAUGCUUUAUGGAGAUUUUUGUAGGCAGGCCCAGCUCAAUCUCCUUUAUUGCUUUAAACAGUGGCUUUAUCAGUUGUCCUACCCAGAGAAAAGGGUUGUUCAUGAAGAAAGUAGUUCUUCAACUUGUAACACGGACUGUCACACAGAUGUCCUCUUGCUGGGCAGUCCCAGCUCUGAGUAUGCAGCAGAAGAACUUCAUGAGUUCUUCCUGUUGCCACUCCAGAUACUGAAAAUCUGUGCUUGGAAGUCACUGUCUCAUUUGUAUGACCUUACCAAGACUUCUAGUCAUUUUUACUAUCAGUACAAGUAGCAAAACAAAGCCAAAGGCAAUAGCAUUCGUAAGAGUCUUUAAGAUGUGUUAGGUCUGGUCUGGCCUUUUCAUUCUCAUCAAGCAAGCUAGUGCUCUCAUCAGCAUGGCCUGCUGCGCCUUUUUUUUUUUUUUUUUAAGAUUUAUUUAUUUAUUAUAUGUAAGCACACUGUAGCUGUCUUCAGACACUCCAGAAAAGGGCAUCAGAUCUUGUUACAGAUGGUUGUGAGCCACCAUGUGGUUGCUGGGAUUUGAACUUCGAACCUUCGGAAGAGCAGUCGGGUGCUCUUACCCACUGAGCCAUCUCACCAGCCUGCUGCGCCUUUUUCAGCUUCACUUUCCUCAUUAAGUGGGAAAUUUUGAUGGUAUAUUUUGUGAAAUGUAAUGGUCUCUUUUCUCGUGGCCUCUUAAUUAGAAAAUUCCAUUAAUUUACAAUCCUUAGUAAUAUAGAAUUUAGGUGUUUUUCUCUGUAAACCAUUCUUUUCUUCCUUGCUUUACCUUGCCUUCUUUUUUUUUUUUUCCAGAUGAUGGCUUACCUUUUUUUUUAUUAGGUAUUUUCCUCAUUUACAUUUCCAGUGCUAUCCCAAAAGUCCCCCAUACCCUUCCCCCUACUCCCCUACCCACCCACUCCCACUUCUUGGCCCUGACGUUCCCCUGUACUGGGGCAUAUAAAGUUUGCACUACCAAGGGGCCUCUCUUUCCACUGAUUGCCAACUAGGCCAUCUUCUGAUACAUAUGCAGCUAGAGACACCAGCUCCAGGGGUUACUGGUUAGUUCAUAUUGUUGUUCCACCUAUAGGGUUGCAGAUCCCUUUAGCUCCUUGGGUACUUUCUCUAGCUCCUCCAUUGGGAGCCCUGUGAUCCAUCCAAUAGCUGACUGUGAGCAUCCACUUCUGUGUUUGCCUAGUCUCACAAGAGACAGCUAUAUCAGGGUCCUUUCAGCAAAAUCUUUCUAGUGUAUGCAAUGGUGUCAGCGUUUGGAGGCUGAUUAUGGGAUGGAUCCCUGGAUAUGGCAGGCUCUAGAUGGUCCAUCCUUUUGUCUCAGCUCCAAACUUUGUAAGUUAGACUUUUUUGAGAACUUCCUCUGACCUUUUUCGUUCCUCCCGCCCCACUGCCUUGUCUGCCUUCUCUGCACUCCUGAUUUUCUAUCACAAAUAUCAGUGACAGGAUAUUAGAGGAUUAUGGUAAUAGGACCUUGCUUAGACAGUUAAAAAAAGAGAUGUAGAAACUCUCAAAAUUGCCAGGUUUAAGGGCUUGCAUUAAUAAAUAGCCUCGUUGACAUAGGUAGGUAGGUAGGUAGGUAGGUAGGUAGGUAGGUAGGUAGGUAGGUAGGUAGGUAGGUAGAUAGAUAGAUAGAUAGAUAGAUAGAUAGAUAGAUAGAUAGAUAGAUAGAUAGAUAGAUAGAUAGAUAGAUCAGAUUUAGAAGGUACGGGGCAUCAGUUUGCCUGGUCCAUCCUUUUUGCAAGUUCUUUUGAGUAGGUGGGGGGACAGCACCCUCGUAGAAGCAGGGGAGGAGGGAUGAGAUAGGCAGUUUGCAGAGGGGAAACUGGGAAAGAGUAUAACAUUUGAAAUGUAAAUAAAUUAAAUAUCCAGUAGAAAAGGAGAGAGGAAAAAU